This 534-nucleotide ribosomal RNA is filed under the name Triticum aestivum (bread wheat). RNAcentral describes it as "partial small subunit ribosomal RNA". Lineage: Eukaryota; Viridiplantae; Streptophyta; Magnoliopsida; Poales; Poaceae. The record is from RNAcentral.
AUGGACGCGCACCGUCACCACCACCACCAAAAUCCAACGGCGAGUCGGGACGGCAACUCCACCUGCACCCACGACGAAGACGACGACGACGACGACUUCCAUCCAUGUAACCACCAUCCCAUCCAUCCAUCCAUCCAUCCUUCCUCCCGCACGAAACCAACCCGAUCCCACGAGAGAGAAAAAUCAGGGCCAAGAUCGUUUUUACAACCGGGUCGCGCUCCGCUCCUCGUUUCUCGUAGGACUUCUUCUUCCCGAGCCCUCUCAUUAGAACACACAAAGAACAGGCACCUUCCAAAGCCGAAACCAAAAGAAAAAAAAAAUCCCCCAAUCCCGAUUUCUCUUUCUCUCCGCGCGCAUCUCCAUCAAAGAUUUCUUCUUUGCUCCCCUUCCUCCUUCCGCCGUCUCCGCGACGGCUCGUGGGGAGAGGCGGGGGACGAAUUCCCCUCCUCUCCAAUUCGCCGCGGCGAGGGCAGGGUUAGGGUUUGCGGGGGAGCCCUCGCCGAAUUCGCCGUGAUCUCGCCGCCGGGCCGGUGA